Molecule: ribosomal RNA, 242 nt
Filed under: uncultured Lactobacillus sp.
Lineage: Bacteria; Bacillati; Bacillota; Bacilli; Lactobacillales; Lactobacillaceae
Description: partial 16S ribosomal RNA
Rfam family: Bacterial small subunit ribosomal RNA
Source: RNAcentral
GGGUAACCUGCCCAAGAGAUCGGGAUAACACCUGGAAACAGAUGCUAAUACCGGAUAACAACAGAUGAUGCCUAUCAACUGUUUAAAAGAUGGUUCUGCUAUCACUCUUGGAUGGACCUGCGGUGCAUUAGCUAGUUGGUAGGGUAACGGCCUACCAAGGCGAUGAUGCAUAGCCGAGUUGAGAGACUGAUCGGCCACAUUGGGACUGAGACACGGCCCAAACUCCUACGGGAGGCAGCAGC